GAGAGAGAGUCCUACUUAUUUCUUAAAACAACAGCCAUUUUCCUUCUGAAUUAGCAUUAUUCUGUUUGGCUAUUAAAUUCACCUGUGAACCCACCUCCUGAGGACAUGAUAAAGGCACUGGUUAUUUUACUAAGGCUUUGACUGUAAUAGCAUUUCAAGAGAUGUCCAGAUUCCAUUAAAGGAUUAAGGUUGACUUUAUAAAGCCAAUAAAAAGCCCUUUGGAAAACUGGCCAGAUACCCAUCAGUAACAUUUCCUGAUCUGUGAAGUCAAGAAAAUAAUUCUCUG
Otolemur garnettii (small-eared galago) is the source of this 286-nucleotide long non-coding RNA. RefSeq lists it as uncharacterized. The record is from RefSeq and is a predicted model, not a curated record. Lineage: Eukaryota; Metazoa; Chordata; Mammalia; Primates; Galagidae. The transcript has 3 exons.